Oncorhynchus tshawytscha (Chinook salmon) is the source of this 1031-nucleotide long non-coding RNA. RefSeq lists it as uncharacterized. NCBI's taxonomy places the organism in Eukaryota, Metazoa, Chordata, Actinopteri, Salmoniformes, Salmonidae. The record is from RefSeq and is a predicted model, not a curated record. The transcript is spliced from 4 exons.
UUCCCUGCUCUGUUCCCUGCUGCUGCAUCGUAUUGUUUCUGACACUGUUCCUGUCUCUUCGCUGUCCGUUACAAUGAAAUGUUUUACUCCCCGUACCUGCUUCGGAUACAGUUGCUAUCUACCUGAUGACGAGGUUCAUCAACAAGGUGCUGCAAGCGAUGGUGUUUGCCAGUGUCAGUGUUUGGCUACACAGCCUGCUUUCUGGUGGAUGGUUUUCAGUCAGGACAACUGGGGUCCCAAAGACCACCGCUCAGUUCUACAGGCAGGUCGUAAAGGACAACGGUUUCCCUGGUGAUGAGACCACCAGAGGUCAAAGGGUGUUACCCAUGUGACUUCCACUGGGGCGUGGCCGACUCAACCGUACAGGUCCAUUUCCACCCCUUCUCCCCUCAAUUCUUGGACCCCCAUCUGUACAGCUGGAACCUGACAGGGGACAGGGCGCUGUAUCCUGUCCAAGGGGUCAAGCUCCACACCAGGAUGAUUACCUGGCCAUCUGAGGUCACCUGGGCUUCUUUGAGUCCACAGGGGCAUCUCACUACCGCUUCGCUCUAAACUGGUCCCUCAUCCUGCCCCAUGGAGAUCUGUUUAAUGUGCACACAGAGGCCCUGAGGAUUCUAUCGCUGUCUCCUGACUGAGCUCCGCAAGCAGGGCCUGGAGGCCAUGGUCAUGCUCUACUACCCCAUGAACAGAGCCCCUCUGCUGGGCUUGCCUGGCCCGGUGCAUGGCUCCAGAGGCUGGCUGAACCGGAGCACGGUGGAGGCCAGGGCUACAGGGCUGGGCCCUGGGUGAGUUAUUGGAUCACCGUCAAUGAGCCCAACAGACUGAUGGAGUGGAGAGGCGCAGCAUCUGGCAGCCCAUAGCCUCCUGCUGGCCCACACUAAGGCCUGGAGGCUAUAUGAGAGGGAGCAUCUCAGCCAACAGAGGAUGUGUCCCUGGCCCUGCACGCAGACUGGGUAGAACACAUCAACCCCUUCCUGGAGUCACAUGCAACCACCGCUCAGAUUUCUGUGUUUUUUUUUUAACCUUUAUUU